AUGAUUAUCUAGCUUGCUAGAUAUGAUUAGUGGCGGACGGGUGAGUAACAUUUAGGAAUCUGCCUAGUAGUGGGGGAUAGCUCGGGGAAACUCGAAUUAAUACCGCAUACGACCUACGGGUGAAAGGGGGCGCAAGCUCUUGCUAUUAGAUGAGCCUAAAUCAGAUUAGCUAGUUGGUGGGGUAAAGGCCCACCAAGGCGACGAUCUGUAACUGGUCUGAGAGGAUGAUCAGUCACACCGGAACUGAGACACGGUCCGGACUCCUACGGGAGGCAGCAGUGGGGAAUAUUGGACAAUGGGGGAAACCCUGAUCCAGCCAUGCCGCGUGUGUGAAGAAGGCCUUUUGGUUGUAAAGCACUUUAAGCAGGGAGGAGAGGCUAAUGGUUAAUACCCAUUAGAUUAGACGUUACCUGCAGAAUAAGCACCGGCUAACUCUGUGCCAGCAGCCGCGGUAAUACAGAGGGUGCGAGCGUUAAUCGGAAUUACUGGGCGUAAAGCGAGUGUAGGUGGCUCAUUAAGUCACAUGUGAAAUCCCCGGGCUUAACCUGGGAACUGCAUGUGAUACUGGUGGUGCUAGAAUAUGUGAGAGGGAAGUAGAAUUCCAGGUGUAGCGGUGAAA
RNAcentral lists this ribosomal RNA (619 nucleotides) under Faucicola osloensis. Its description in RNAcentral is "bacterial SSU rRNA". It matches the Rfam family "Bacterial small subunit ribosomal RNA", at positions 66 to 686 of the family's 1533-position model. The record is from RNAcentral. Lineage: Bacteria; Pseudomonadati; Pseudomonadota; Gammaproteobacteria; Moraxellales; Moraxellaceae.